Molecule: ribosomal RNA, 1120 nt
Filed under: fungal endophyte sp. E17-3371
Lineage: Eukaryota; Fungi
Description: eukaryotic LSU rRNA
Rfam family: 5.8S ribosomal RNA (bases 779-932)
Source: RNAcentral
GGAGUUGCACAAUUGAGAGAAUUCAGUUUACUGAAGAGGACCGUUUCGAUGCAUCACUGAAGAUGGAUUUUCACUAUAGUACUAUUAAUUUCAGAGAAGCAGACCCGGCUUCCGUGUACUUGAAGACCGACAUUGCCAGUUUUGGUGGUGACUGAUCCAUAAAUUCAGGCUAAAGGAGUACCGGGAUACGUGUACAUGUUUGCAGAUAAAUUCCAGGCGAUAAGCAGAUUCUAGUUACCAGUCUACAGCACGCGCCCGCUCCCCCAGGCUUUGAUCACAUCUAAGAAUACAAUGUCGGAAUAGUCACUGCAGUGUGCCGAAAGCUGGAUACAUCAGUGUCUUCAUUCUCACCAAAAGUGCAACCGAAUAGAUGCAGCUGAAAAAUGGUUUCCAACACGCUUGUUGUUACUUGACUCCUCCAAUCAUGGUCAACACCAUGUGCGUCUAAUCCACACUGCGCAAGAGCAACCCAGUGGACCAUACAGCACCUUGAGCCACCGGUGGGGCGUGGUAGAAAUUCUCAAAUGGGAAAUGAAAAAAACGUAACAAGGUUUCCGUAGGUGAACCUGCGGAAGGAUCAUUACAUAUCAUCCAGUGUGGUCGCGGCCUCCGGGUUCUUCCCGGGCGGUAGGAGGUAACACUCUUCACGCGCCACGCGUUUGAAUCCUUUUUUUACGAGCACCUUUCGUUCUCCUUCGGUGGGGCAACCUGCCGUUGGAACUAUACAAAACCUUUUUUGCAUCUAGCAUUACCUGUUCCGAUAACAAACAAUCGUUACAACUUUCAACAAUGGAUCUCUUGGCUCUGGCAUCGAUGAAGAACGCAGCGAAAUGCGAUAAGUAGUGUGAAUUGCAGAAUUCAGUGAAUCAUCGAAUCUUUGAACGCACAUUGCGCCCCUUGGUAUUCCAUGGGGCAUGCCUGUUCGAGCGUCAUCUACACCCUCAAGCUCUGCUUGGUGUUGGGCGUCUGUCCCGCCUCUGCGCGUGGACUCGCCCCAAAUUCAUUGGCAGCGGUCUUUGCCUCCUCUCGCGCAGCACAUUGCGCUUCUCGAGGUGUCUGCGGGGCCCGCGUCCACGAAGCAUUACCAGUCUUUGACCUCGGAUCAGGUAACAUGCGCAAG